GACGAACGCUGGCGGCGUGCCUAAUACAUGCAAGUCGAGCGCAGGAAAUCGACGGAACCCUUCGGGGGGAAGUCGACGGAAUGAGCGGCGGACGGGUGAGUAACACGUAAAGAACCUGCCCUCAGGUCUGGGAUAACCACGAGAAAUCGGGGCUAAUACCGGAUGGGUCAUCGGACCGCAUGGUCCGAGGAUGAAAGGCGCUUCGGCGUCGCCUGGGGAUGGCUUUGCGGUGCAUUAGCUAGUUGGUGGGGUAAUGGCCCAUCAAGGCGACGAUGGAUGGCGGACCUGAGAGGGUGAGCGGCAACACUGGGACUGAGACACGGCCCAGACUCCUACGGGAGGCAGCAGUAGGGAAUCUUCCACAAUGGACGAAAGUCUGAUGGAGCAACGCCGCGUGAACGAAGAAGGCCUUCGGGUCGUAAAGUUCUGUUGUAAGGGAAGAACAAGUGCCGCAGGCAAUGGCGGCACCUUGACGGUACCUUGCGAGAAAGCCACGGCUAACUACGUGCCAGCAGCCGCGGUAA
RNAcentral lists this ribosomal RNA (524 nucleotides) under uncultured bacterium. Its description in RNAcentral is "partial 16S ribosomal RNA". It matches the Rfam family "Bacterial small subunit ribosomal RNA", at positions 28 to 523 of the family's 1533-position model. The record is from RNAcentral.